CACGUAGGUCGCAAGCGUUGUCCGGAUUUAUUGGGCGUAAAGAGCUCGUAGGCGGCUUGUCGCGUCGUCCGUGAAAACUUGGGGCUCAACCCCAAGCUUGCGGUCGAUACGGGCAGGCUCGAGUUCGGUAGGGGAGACUGGAAUUCCUGGUGUAGCGGUGAAAUGCGCAGAUAUCAGGAGGAACACCGGUGGCGAAGGCGGGUCUCUGGGCCGAUACUGACGCUGAGGAGCGAAAGCGUGGGGAGCGAACAGG
RNAcentral lists this ribosomal RNA (253 nucleotides) under uncultured bacterium. RNAcentral's name for it is "partial 16S ribosomal RNA". It matches the Rfam family "Bacterial small subunit ribosomal RNA", at positions 524 to 776 of the family's 1533-position model. The record is from RNAcentral.